UGUUAAAAUGUUUGCUUGUUUUCUAUAGGUGUGCAUCAUUUCACAGUUAUUGGCAAUGGUUCAAUGGUUUCAUCUGCUUUGAACAGUUUCUUCUCCAUCAUUAAGAGGACGCUUAGGUUCCAUGUGGACAACCUGGCUUACAGUAGGUGUGAUGUGGCUGUGACAUCAGGAGUGGAAUAUCUUUGCUGGGAUAAAUGAGUAAGACAGAGUACAAAAAGGCUACUGAAGAUCAGCCUGGAGUCAAUAAACAGUUGUGUAACAGAGAAGGGAAGAGGACAAGGUAAGGGACUGCUCUGUGGACCCACCCUCUUUUUCAAUCUUACUACGGCAGUUAAGCUUCUGAGGAACACAAAUCAGGCAAGUGAAAAAACUUACAACUGGGUUGAAAACAGUAGGGAGAAGCUUCAGGAAAGAGUAGAUACAGCAGGGCUG
This 432-nucleotide long non-coding RNA is filed under the name Rhinopithecus bieti (black snub-nosed monkey). Its description in RNAcentral is "lncRNA (ENSRBIG00000046216.1)". Lineage: Eukaryota; Metazoa; Chordata; Mammalia; Primates; Cercopithecidae. The record is from RNAcentral.